UAAAGGUGCAUNAGUGGUGUUUGGUUUGUUACGUGUGGUUGGCUGCGGCGUUUGCANCAACUUCCAUGCUUUCAUACCUCUUCAGUUAUGCGGCAAGGCUUGUAUCCCCUUGACCAUGUUGCGGGUUUGCUGUGUUGAAUACCUAANCAANGGUAUCGGUNGGCUAGAUCAAAGUUUCAAUUCGUCUUGUGUUGCGUUUGCANCGUGAGGUGAACCAUGAAGCGAUCUCUUUGAUCCACCUUUGUUGAAGCACUGUUUCGACAUUGUGGCACAUCGAGCAUUGCUUGGUCUCUUGCAUACGGAACAUACAGUGGGCAAGGAUCUAACGAUUCUUGUUUGCCCUCGUAUUAGCGUUCUCGCUUCUUUACAACGACUAGUGCGCGUGUUGGCUUGUCCACUCGUGGUGCUACGUGAAGAGGAAUGCUACCUGGUGAUCCGC
RNAcentral lists this unclassified non-coding RNA (439 nucleotides) under Anthemis chia. RNAcentral describes it as "partial contains external transcribed spacer and small subunit ribosomal RNA". Lineage: Eukaryota; Viridiplantae; Streptophyta; Magnoliopsida; Asterales; Asteraceae. The record is from RNAcentral.